Molecule: transfer RNA, 72 nt
Filed under: Zingiber officinale
Lineage: Eukaryota; Viridiplantae; Streptophyta; Magnoliopsida; Zingiberales; Zingiberaceae
Rfam family: tRNA
About the family: Transfer RNA (tRNA) molecules are approximately 80 nucleotides in length.
Source: Rfam by way of RNAcentral
GGGGGUGUAACUCAAAUGGUAGAGUGCUUACUUUGCAUGCGAGAGGCAUUGGUUCGAUCCCUUUCAUCUCCA